This 253-nucleotide ribosomal RNA is filed under the name uncultured bacterium. RNAcentral describes it as "partial 16S ribosomal RNA". It matches the Rfam family "Bacterial small subunit ribosomal RNA", at positions 524 to 776 of the family's 1533-position model. The record is from RNAcentral.
UACGUAGGGUGCGAGCGUUGUCCGGAAUUAUUGGGCGUAAAGAGCUCGUAGGCGGUUUGUCACGUCGGCUGUGAAAACCCGAGGCUCAACCUCGGGCCUGCAGUCGAUACGGGCAGACUAGAGUGCUGUAGGGGAGACUGGAAUUCCUGGUGUAGCGGUGAAAUGCGCAGAUAUCAGGAGGAACACCGGUGGCGAAGGCGGGUCUCUGGGCAGUAACUGACGCUGAGGAGCGAAAGCGUGGGGAGCAAACAGG